RNAcentral lists this ribosomal RNA (508 nucleotides) under uncultured bacterium. Its description in RNAcentral is "bacterial SSU rRNA". It matches the Rfam family "Bacterial small subunit ribosomal RNA", at positions 28 to 526 of the family's 1533-position model. The record is from RNAcentral.
GAUGAACGCUAGCGACAGGCCUAACACAUGCAAGUCGAGGGGCAGCACAAUGCGUAGCAAUACAAAUGGUGGCGACCGGCGCACGGGUGAGUAACACGUAUGCAACCUACCUGUAAGAGGGGAAUAACCCGGAGAAAUUCGGACUAAUACCGCAUAAAACUGCGAGACUGCAUGGUCUUGCAUUUAAACAUUUAUGGCUUACAGAUGGGCAUGCGUAUGAUUAGUUAGUUGGUGAGGUAACGGCCCACCAAGUCAACGAUCAUUAGGGGUUCUGAGAGGAACGUCCCCCACACUGGUACUGAGACACGGACCAGACUCCUACGGGAGGCAGCAGUGAGGAAUAUUGGUCAAUGGGCGAGAGCCUGAACCAGCCAAGUCGCGUGAAGGAAGAAGGUUCUAUGGAUUGUAAACUUCUUUUGUAAGGGAAUAAAAAGUGGUACGUGUACCAUAUUGUAUGUACUUUACGAAUAAGGAUCGGCUAACUCCGUGCCAGCCGCCGCCGUAAAAC